This 635-nucleotide ribosomal RNA is filed under the name Aspergillus wentii. RNAcentral describes it as "eukaryotic LSU rRNA". It matches the Rfam family "Eukaryotic large subunit ribosomal RNA", at positions 1 to 649 of the family's 3401-position model. RNAcentral also lists the same sequence under 1 other name. The record is from RNAcentral. Lineage: Eukaryota; Fungi; Ascomycota; Eurotiomycetes; Eurotiales; Aspergillaceae.
GUUGACCUCGGAUCAGGUAGGGAUACCCGCUGAACUUAAGCAUAUCAAUAAGCGGAGGAAAAGAAACCAACCGGGAUUGCCUCAGUAACGGCGAGUGAAGCGGCAAAAGCUCAAAUUUGAAAUCUGGCUCCUUCGGGGUCCGAGUUGUAAUUUGCAGAGGAUGCUUCGGUUGCGGCCCCCAUCUAAGUACCCUGGAACGGGUCGUCAUAGAGGGUGAGAAUCCCGUAUGGGAUGGGGUGUCCGCGUCCGUGUGAAGCUCCUUCGACGAGUCGAGUUGUUUGGGAAUGCAGCUCUAAAUGGGUGGUAAAUUUCAUCUAAAGCUAAAUACUGGCCGGAGACCGAUAGCGCACAAGUAGAGUGAUCGAAAGAUGAAAAGCACUUUGAAAAGAGAGUUAAACAGCACGUGAAAUUGUUGAAAGGGAAGCGCUUGCGAUCAGACUCGCCUACGGGGUUCAGCCGGCUUUCGGGCCGGUGUACUUCCCCGUGGGCGGGCCAGCGUCGGUUUGGGCGGCCGGUCAAAGGCCCCUGGAAUGUAGCGCCUCUCGGGGCGCCUUAUAGCCAGGGGUGCAAUGCGGCCUGCCUGGACCGAGGAACGCGCUUCGGCACGGACGCUGGCAUAAUGGUCGUAAGCGACC